GUGGCGGAUGGCGAAAUUGGUAGACGCGCUAGAAAAAUAUCCUUGAUGCAAAACUCGUCUUUAUAGGCCGAAGUAUUGAGGGUUAUCGGAAUCUUGUACCGCGAGGUUUGUGGGUUCGAGUCCCACUCCGCCACACCA
This 138-nucleotide transfer RNA is filed under the name Planktothrix sp. FACHB-1355. Its description in RNAcentral is "tRNA-OTHER". RNAcentral also lists the same sequence under 1 other name. Lineage: Bacteria; Bacillati; Cyanobacteriota; Cyanophyceae; Oscillatoriales; Microcoleaceae. The record is from RNAcentral.